UUCAGAGGUCUCAAGCGUUGUUCGGAUUCAUUGGGCGUAAAGGGUGCGUAGGUGGCGCUGUAAGUCGGGUGUGAAAUUUCGGAGCUUAACUCCGAAACUGCAUUCGAUACUGCGGUGCUUGAGGACUGGAGAGGAGACUGGAAUUCAUGGUGUAGCAGUGAAAUGCGUAGAUAUCAAGCGGAACACCAGUGGCGAAGGCGAGUCCCUGGACAACUCCUGACACUGAGGCACGAAAGCUAGGGGAGCAAACAGG
Molecule: ribosomal RNA, 253 nt
Filed under: uncultured bacterium
Lineage: Bacteria
Description: partial 16S ribosomal RNA
Rfam family: Bacterial small subunit ribosomal RNA
Source: RNAcentral